AUGCCGUGCUGUGGGCAUGCUGCAAUUUAUUCCUGGAGACAUUCCCAGGCUUCUGGGACUGUCUCAUCCUGGACUUCUUGAAAACUGGAAAUCUUGUUCCCUAGGGC
Small nucleolar RNA from Panicum hallii, 107 nucleotides. Lineage: Eukaryota; Viridiplantae; Streptophyta; Magnoliopsida; Poales; Poaceae. The record is from RefSeq and is a predicted model, not a curated record.